CCUCCACCCAGAAAUGAGAACCGCACGCUCGGAUUAAUCCACCUGUCGAGUCCGCGAAGACCCCCGCUGGCUGGCCACGGCCAGGAGCUCAGGAGCACACCGAUGGCUACAAAGGUGGCAGUCAUCGGUUCAGGUGACGUUUCCUUGGCACGCGCUCCACAAACGCUUCGUUCGCGCAGCUGGCGGCGGGACCGUUUGUCACCGGCCUGUCUUUACGGUCACGCCCACAACUACGAGAACCCAAGGAAAGAUUUGCAAUAUUGUCAUUUUUCACAUUGAAUCAAUUUGUGCACAAUAAACAAAUCAUGUUUUUUCUACGUUUUGUCACAUAUUUAGCACGUUCCUAAUGAAUUGAAAUUGUUGCACAUUUAUUUGCAAAGCCUUCCCUUGACUGGAGUUUUGGACGGGAGUGAAGCGGGCGAGACGAAAACGACCGAGGCUCCCGAGGCGACAGAUCGGUGGCACGGAUCAACAACAUUGGGCUUUAUCGCCACGACGACGGCGGCGGAGGCGGAGGGACCAGCUGCUCGGAGAGCGCGCAGCGCAGUAGGCGAUGGGCGGACGGAACGGCCGCUGACACGGACGCCUGAAGCCUUGCUGGAAAAAAAAAAAAAAAAAA
Molecule: long non-coding RNA, 619 nt
Organism: Syngnathus acus (greater pipefish)
Lineage: Eukaryota; Metazoa; Chordata; Actinopteri; Syngnathiformes; Syngnathidae
Exons: 2
Source: RefSeq, a predicted model, not a curated record